This is a long non-coding RNA of Hemicordylus capensis (graceful crag lizard), 494 nucleotides long. RefSeq lists it as uncharacterized. Lineage: Eukaryota; Metazoa; Chordata; Lepidosauria; Squamata; Cordylidae. The record is from RefSeq and is a predicted model, not a curated record. The transcript has 3 exons.
CUGCACAUGCUCAAAUGGUCCCUGCAAGGCCCUAGAGGCCAGUGGGGGGAGGAGGAACCUUUGCAAACCCCCCAGCCUUUAGGAAACCCCCCGAAGGGGCUACAGCAACAGCUUAUACAUUGCGUUUCGUUAUCGAAAGGGACUGUGGUGUGCCCAGUCUCCGGAUCUUUUAAGCGCCUAUCAGCUCUCCUGCUGGGCCUGCCUCUCCAGGGAUCUUCUAAUCCUCACCCUUUCCAGCCAUGCUCUAAAAGGCAGUUCACAGAGCCUUCCCGGACCUUUGGGACUGAAAGUCCUUCGACUCCUUAUCUGAACAUCAGAUGAAAGGCACAGCCUUAUGGAGAUGGGAUCUAUUCGGGAUUGACACCCCUCGCCCCCAGCUCAAAGGACUCACCUUUCAGAUGGAAAGGCCACUUCGUCGCCCACAUAGGACCCCAUAAGGCCUGAUGAUCUGAGACAUACAGGAUCUCCCCCUUCCUUUUAGCAGCCCCAAACAC